ACAUGAAACACCCGCUAACACCUUCUAGUUGAACGAAGACUUGGUGGUAUUCGUAAGCAUUGUCUCAGUUGGUUGUAUUUGUUGAGUACUUUGAAAGGCAACUGGCAACAGGAGAUUUAAUACCAUUACACGUGAAUGUCAGAUCAUAUUGAUAUUUCGUUUACAUUUGAACUGUUUCGAGGUUCAGUUUAAUGUUGUAAUUUACUUAUCCGUAUACUAAGCGUAGAGGAUGGAGUAUCCUAAUCAUGUGCGGUCGUAUGGUUGGUAUCAGGAAGUGUGUUGCUAUUUAACCUGUGUUAUCCGAUCAACGUCCGUUGAACACUCUCAUCAGAUGUAAUAAGCGGAACACACAGCCCUGGGCCUACCAAAAUGGACAAUGUCUAGGAUCUCGGCCAGAGAUGCCUCACUCACCACUUUAUGAAACUCCAGAUCUUGGCCAACCACGACACACUCUCCAAUCUCUGCCAAAGGCUAAGGUCUACGUGCAGACGUUAGAGGACCACAAACAUGGACAUAGUCCUGUAACUCGGCCAGAUGCUGUCACACAUCAGGUCUCAAGCAUGGAUGUCUGACUCUAGAAGGUGUGUUGAAAGUCCAAAGCUUCUUUACCUUUACCAUUUACACCGCUCCAUGUGCAGGAAACCAUACCACUUCAUAUACUACUAUAUGAUUCCCACGAUCUAGUAUCCGAUAAGGAUGCGAAAUCAAUCUCCACUUCUUUUUUCAUAACCAAGAGGGCUCUUUAGGAUUACUUGUUUAGCCAAAUCGCCCAACUCGUUGAUGGUGCAUCGUGUACCUACUGAUUACCGGGCAGCUUUGAGGUGUUGAGGGGUGUUUCAUGUUUCAUGGCUCACACUCCUACAUGAAACACCCGCUAACACCUUUUAGUUGAACGAUGACUCAGUGGUAUCCGUAAGCAUCUUCUCGGCUGGUUGUAUUUGGUGAGCAGUUUUAAUGGCAACUGCCAACAGGAGAUUCAAUACCACUGCAACGAGAAUGUCAGAUCAUACCAAUAUUGUGGUUACAUUUUGAACCGUAUUAUGUUGCGCGGUUUAUCGUAGUAUUUUAAUCAUCCUUGAUGCUAGGAAUAGAUGAUGAAGUAUGUUCCUAAUCAUGUGCGGUUAUAUGGCUGGUAUCACGAAGUGCUUUGUUCAUCUUACCUAUCGGAUCCACUUAUGUCCAAUACUGCCUCAUGGAGUGCGAUAUGCGGAACAGUCCUCAGUCUACCAAAAUGGACAAAGUCUAGGGCAUCAUUCACCAGAGAUGGUUCAAAUCCAGAUCUUGGCCAACCACUUUGAUAGACUUCCCGAUGUCUUCCAACCACUAAUAUCUACGUCCAGAUCUCUGUCGACAACAAACAUGGACCUAGUCAUGUGACUCGGCCAGAUUAUGUCAAACAUCAGAUGUCAAGCAUGGAUGUCUCCAGAAGGUGCCAUUGCUACAGCAGUAGAUCUCACCUGUCUCCCACCUGCUACACCUGUAACGUCAAGCUCAGCAUCUGCAUGUUGUCUACGUACUCUAGCUAUCUUCCACCUGAUCUCUUCUGUCUCCCACCUGCUACACCUGUCAUCAAACUCACCUGUCUCACCGUCACCAUCUGCAUGUUUUCUACGACAUCAUGAAGCACCUGACUGACGCCGUGACCGUCUUCCCUCCAGAAGGAUGUCAGGAUCUCCCAAGGUCCUACAUGCUACAGAACACUGACCGGGAUGUCCUUAAAGAACUGUCAAUCAUCAGUACACUAAUUGAUCUCAGUGUAACUUUAUCUGUCAUUUCAAAGAGUCAGUGUCCCUGGAACAUAAAACAUUACAUUUGGGCAGUACCCUAAGGCAGUCUUUCUUGAAUACAAUUGGGAAAACGUGUUAGAUCUGUCAGAACUGUUUCAGGGUUACAUUACCAAAUAAUAUCUGAUCUAUUUGUCAGACACAUUUAUGUAGGUUUACUGUUACUAAACACGUUGUCUCUUUCGGGCUGUCAGGAGGGUGGAUAUAUACAGGUGUGGUUGAGCCAUGCUACCCUGGAUGUAUUCAGCCAAGUGACAUUCUAAAAACAUUAAUAAUAUAUAUUUUGUCAGGUUUGGAAAUCAAAUGCACAUAGGUUUUGAUGUAUUUAGAUAUCUGGUAAAUGGUCUACAUUUGAGAAUGUUAUUGAUUUUGCCUGUUAGGAGAUUUGAGUGGCAUUCUGAAAAACAUUAAAAAAGUAUAAGUUUUGGUGUAUUUAUAUCUUUGAAAGCGUCUCUAUGUGAGAUAGGAAUUGAUUGUGUCUGUCAGGAGGAUGGAUAUAUACAGACGUAGUUGAGCCAUGCUGCUCUGGAUGUAUACAUUCUACUGACAAUAUAAGGAAGUACAUGCACAAAACGCACAUAGCGUGUCAUACUUGGUUUAAACAAGGCAACUCCGCAUACAUACUUGUCAUAUGUGGGAUGUAUGCAAACGUUUAACGAAAGAUUGAAACCUGUACCAGCAACGGUCGUUGUUUAGCCAGGAGUGAGUGGGUUUGAUUUUACGCCGCUUUUUCGCAAUAUCACGGCGGGGGGCAACAGAAAUGGGCUUCACACAUUGCACCCAUGUGGGGAAUAGAACCCGAAUCUUCGGCGUGACGAGCGAACGCUUUAACCACUAGUCUACCCUACCGCCCCUGUUUAGCCAGGAACAUUAUUAAGCAAGCACAAGAGAUGUGCUGAGACGCCCUCAAACGCUGUGUACACAAGAUGUACAAACGUGUUUCUUAUUAUUUCCAUGUUCCGUGUUCCGUUGUGUUGAUUUUAGUCCCCACCAUACCUCCACCCCGCCCUUCCUCCACCCCAACCCAUCCCCGAUAAAUAGGAUUGUAUUUUCAGUAUCUGUAAUUUGACAGCGUCCCCCGAUUUUGUACAUAGUACAUUGCUGUUCUUCGUCAUUUUCUGUUAUGUUGAAUCUUAUUAUCAAUAAAGCUUUCACUAU
Molecule: long non-coding RNA, 2942 nt
Organism: Haliotis rubra (blacklip abalone)
Lineage: Eukaryota; Metazoa; Mollusca; Gastropoda; Lepetellida; Haliotidae
Exons: 5
Source: RefSeq, a predicted model, not a curated record